RNAcentral lists this ribosomal RNA (119 nucleotides) under Brassica rapa (field mustard). Lineage: Eukaryota; Viridiplantae; Streptophyta; Magnoliopsida; Brassicales; Brassicaceae. The record is from RNAcentral.
GGGUGCUUUCAUACCAGCACUAAUGCAUUGGAUCCCAUCAGAUCUCCGCAGCUAAGCGUGCUUGGACGAGAGUAGUACUAGGAUGGUUGACCUCCCGGGAAGUCCUCAUGUUGCACCCC